RNAcentral lists this ribosomal RNA (253 nucleotides) under uncultured bacterium. Its description in RNAcentral is "partial 16S ribosomal RNA". It matches the Rfam family "Bacterial small subunit ribosomal RNA", at positions 524 to 776 of the family's 1533-position model. The record is from RNAcentral.
UACGGAGGGUGCAAGCGUUGUUCGGAAUUACUGGGCGUAAAGCGCGUGUAGGUGGCCUAUGAAGUCUGGUGUGAAAUCCCUCGGCUUAACCGAGGAAUUGCGCUGGAAACCAGUAGGCUAGAGUGCGAGAGGGGAUUGCGGAAUUCCUAGUGUAGAGGUGAAAUUCGUAGAUAUUAGGAGGAACACCGGAGGCGAAGGCGGCAAUCUAGAUCGCAACUGACACUAAGACGCGAAAGCGUGGGUAGCAAACAGG